RNAcentral lists this non-coding RNA (30 nucleotides) under Rattus norvegicus (Norway rat). Lineage: Eukaryota; Metazoa; Chordata; Mammalia; Rodentia; Muridae. The record is from RNAcentral.
UCGAAGAGUUCGUCAGGCAAUCUUCUCUCU